Molecule: long non-coding RNA, 1568 nt
Organism: Homo sapiens (human)
Lineage: Eukaryota; Metazoa; Chordata; Mammalia; Primates; Hominidae
Source: Ensembl
GACGUAUCUUCAAAGUCAAAAGGCUGGGUUGAUUUCAGACACCUCAUGGAGAUAAAGGAUCCCGAUAAGACUUCUCAUGCCCUAAAGGUGAUGUUGAACCUCUGAUUCUGCUACAGUACUAAGAUUUAUUAUGUCACUGGAGGGCAGUGAAGAUAUGAUGUGACAUGAUGUACAGAGCAAACCAACUGGCCCUCUUGCAACUGGAACUCUUGAAUGGAACACUUGCUCUUGGAGUCCUGAGGGGCCAUUGAAGGUAUCCAACUACUCUGAGGCUCCCAUGCUGGAGAGAUCCCAGGUAAGUGCUCCAGUUGAGGGUCUCAGCUGACCCCAGUCUUCCAGCUGUCCUUGCCAAGGUGCCAGAUGUAUGAGAGCCCCUCCAGACCAGACCAUCUUUUAGUCCAGUGCCACCAAGUCAACUCUGUUGAUGCCACAUGGAACAGACGAACCACUCAGCUGUGCCCUGUCCAAAUUCCUGACCUAAAAAAUUCUGAGCAUGCCUGGAACUUUGAAUAAUGCAUCUGAAGAAUCUGCCCGCAUAGGUAAAAACAUGCUCCCUUCUUGUCAUUGAAUUUUAAGCUGUGGACACAAGUCUUAUGAGUUCAUCUAUAAACAUAAGCAUAGAAAGCAGUAGAAGCCACACCUGUGGUGAGGAGCUCUCCAUAUGGGGUUGCAGGUGCCAUGUGAGUCUCCAUGUGUGGUUGUGUUUUAAGCCCAGGAAGUGCUAGGAGUAAGCUGGAAUAAGCUAGAACUCACAGCUGGUUCUUCCACAUAGAGAAAUGAAGGAGUGGAAUCACUGGGGAUACCUCCCGCAAUAGGAAAGCCCCUUGAGAACUGAAACAAGUCAUCUGUUUCUCAGGAGGAGCUGACCAAGAGCCCCCUCCUUUCGUGUGAAUUUAAAUUCCCCUUUUCAUGAGACUUUUCUUAAAGACAAGGAAAAAAAGCUAUCAGGGGAAAAUGAAUAAUAUGACAUCGAAAGUAUUGAAAGGCUUGAAAUGAUCCCACAUGUGUCAUCUGACUUUGAGAGGUGAAGGGGCUCCCGUCUGUACGUAGAGAGGCUGGCGUGCUGCCUGGAUUACUUGUCUGAUGUCACAUGCUAAUGGGAUCCCAGCUAGAAUGCUGGCAACUCUGACUGUAACAACCUCAGACACCUUUGCGCACAGCUUCAGUUUCAAAUUAAUUUUCACAUCCUCCUUAGGAAACUGGGCCCUCCGUAAUCAACAGAACUCUGCAUCGCACAUCCUAACAUUGAAACUCACCUGAGCACAAGGAUCCUACAGUUCUCCUAGACAGACCUCAAGAACCCGCACAGACCCUCGGGGCACACUCCCCUGUGUGUUUUGGAACAAAUAGUCACUCUCUGUGUUUUCAAAUGUCCUUUGGCCUUUUGUCAAAUCCACACUGACCUCUUUUCAAAUGCGUGUGGUCAGUGUUAUUUUUCAAAGGCCCUUUGAAGUUUGCUUUGUUGCCUUCCCUCCCUGUGGGUCACAGAGCAAUUACUGGAAGAUUUGUGGGAGGCCGCUUUUGGCUUUGUGUACAUGUGAACGCCUGUUUAUAAAUCAGGUGAGUUA